CCCGCGACAAGCGGUGGAGCAUGUGGUUUAAUUCGUAAGCAACGCGAAGAACCUUACCAGGUCUUGACAUCCCGAUGCUAUUCUAGAGAUAGAAAGUUACUUCGGUACAUCGGUGACAGGUGGUGCAUGGUUGUCGUCAGCUCGUGUCGUGAGAUGUUGGGUUAAGUCCCGCAACGAGCGCAACCCCUAUUGUUAGUUGCCAUCAUUCAGUUGGGCACUCUAGCGAGACUGCCGGUAAUAAACCGGAGGAAGGUGGGGAUGACGUCAAAUCAUCAUGCCCCUUAUGACCUGGGCUACACACGUGCUACAAUGGUUGGUACAACGAGUUGCGAGUCGGUGACGGCGAGCUAAUCUCUUAAAGCCAAUCUCAGUUCGGAUUGUAGGCUGCAACUCGCCUACAUGAAGUCGGAAUCGCUAGUAAUCGCGGAUCAGCACGCCGCGGUGAAUACGUUCCCGGGCCUU
This 462-nucleotide ribosomal RNA is filed under the name uncultured Streptococcus sp. Its description in RNAcentral is "bacterial SSU rRNA". It matches the Rfam family "Bacterial small subunit ribosomal RNA", at positions 920 to 1382 of the family's 1533-position model. Lineage: Bacteria; Bacillati; Bacillota; Bacilli; Lactobacillales; Streptococcaceae. The record is from RNAcentral.